AUUUUCCGGUUGAUCCUGCCGGACCCCACUGCUAUCGGGAUAGGACUAAGACAUGCUAGUCGAGUGAUUCAGGCAAAACGAGUCACGGCACACAGCUCAGUAACACGUGGCUAAUCUGCCCUUAGGACGAGAACAACCCCGGGAAACUGGGGCUAAUUCUCGAUAGGCGAAGAACUCUGGAAUGAGUCUUUACCUAAAUAGUGCAACGUUAUCCUCGUUGCAUCGCCUAAGGAUGAGGCCGCGACCGAUCAGGUUGUUGGCGAGGUAAUGGCUCACCAAGCCUUUUACCGGUGCGGGCCGUGAGAGCGGGAGCCCGGAGAUGGGCACUGAGACAAGGGCCCAGGCCCUACGGGGCGCAGCAGUCGCGAAAACUUUGCAAUAAGCGAAAGCUUGACAGGGCUAUCCCGAGUGCCAUCCGCUGAGGAAGGCUUUUACCCAGUCUAGAACGCUGGGGGAAUAAGGAGAGGGCAAGUCUGGUGUCAGCCGCCGCGGUAAUACCAGCUCUCCGAGUGGUGUGGAUGUUUAUUGGGCCUAAAGCAUCCGUAGCUGGCUAGGUCAGUCCCUUGUUAAAUCCACCGAAUUAAUCGUUGGAUUGCGGGGGAUACUGCUUGGCUAGGGGACGAGAGAGGCAGACGGUAUUUUCGGGGUAGGGGUGAAAUCCUAUAAUCCCGGGAAGACCACCAGUGGCGAAGGCUGUCUGCUAGAACGCGCCCGACGGUGAGGGAUGAAAGCUGGGGGAGCGAACCGGAUUAGAUACCCGGGUAGUCCCAGCUGUAAACGAUGCAGACUAGGUGUUUGGACGGCCACGUGCCGUUCUAGUGCCGCAGGGAAAGCUGUUAAGUCUGCCGCCUGGGGAGUACGAUCGCAAGAUUGAAACUUAAAGGAAUUGGCGGGGGAGCACCACAAGGGGUGAAGCUUGCGGUUUAAUUGGAGUCAACGCCCGGAAAUCGUCGGACCUGC
This 960-nucleotide ribosomal RNA is filed under the name uncultured archaeon. RNAcentral describes it as "bacterial SSU rRNA". It matches the Rfam family "Archaeal small subunit ribosomal RNA", at positions 1 to 939 of the family's 1478-position model. The record is from RNAcentral.